This 112-nucleotide ribosomal RNA is filed under the name uncultured bacterium. RNAcentral's name for it is "partial 16S ribosomal RNA". The record is from RNAcentral.
UGCGUAAUCCAGCACAAUGGGGGCAAGCAUGAUCCAGCCAUGCCGCGUGAGUGAUGAAGGCCUUAGGGAUGUAAAGCUCUUUUAUCCGGGACGAUAAUGACGUACCGAGAUA